ACAUGUGGUAAUAAUGUGUACUUAAUUCAUGUACACAGGACACCAUUACAGACAAUGCAAGCUUCCUUUUCAAAAAAGAAUCAGUUAUUUGCGUACCAACUCCUCUCUUUUAAGACUACUGAUUUCAGGUGCCGUCUGCCCAAGCGGCCGACUCUGUGCAACCUCCGCUGGCUUCAGUUGAGCUUGCACCAGAUUUGGAGCCUGUCCUGGGAGGAUGAUGCGCCUCGUAUACACAGGGGACCACCACCCAGAUGCUUUCUGCUCUUCAGUGGGACUGUUGAUGCUAGAGACUGAAGCUAGAAAAAGAAAAGAAAAGCAUCUCGAUUAUUAUUUUUUAAGUGUACGUACUACUUAUGCUGAACUGGACAUGCAGGAAACCAUUCCUUUCAGAUGACUUUUUUUAUUCCAUGUCCUUUUCCCCGUGAUAGUUGAAUCUGCUGCUCUUGUUAAAGAUAGUUUAUAGGAUGCAAGGAAUGUAGCAACCUGCAUUGUAACUUUGCUCAAAAUAAUUCCUGGUUCUUAAGUGGAUUUCAUUUUAUACAAAAAUGUUUAAAAGGCAGUGAAACUGGCACAUGUCACUUGUACUUAUUUCCCAAUUGCGUAGAAUUUGAAUAGGUGGCUAGACGGACCAUUGCCAUUUAAGAAUGUACAUCAGGGAUCAUUGUACCUCGGCUAUUACAUGGUGCCUUAAACAGAACUGAAGCUAAGAUUUUCUUGUUAAUAACUCUUGCAUUGAUUCAGCAAAGUGUGCCUGUCUUCUUUCUUUCUCCCCUCCUCCCCCAAGUCCCCAAACAAUAGAAGGGCAGGUUACAUAGUUUUCAAAAAUCAAGAUUUUCUUUAUUUAUUUAUUAGAUACAAUAUCCCGCUUAGAGUGACGGCAUAUUUCUUCUUUAUAGCUGAAUUUCACUUUAUUACUAAUCAGAUUUUCUUGGUGGGGAGGGGAGUGUAUGAAAAACAAAACUAGCUUUAACAAUGUCAAAGGUCAACAAAAUAGGUUAGCCAAUUUCCAAACAAGAAUUUAUAUAUAUUUCUAAACCCUUAUCUACUUUUAAUUUUUAAAAAGUAAAGUAAGCAAAACUUUUUAAAGCAGCAUAUAGUUACAAUUUGUGCACAUGUGGGGGGUCAGUCUGCUGUUUCAUUUACUGGUUAAAUCAUACUAUAUGUGGGGGUUUUUUGUUUUGCUUUUGUCUAAUGACCUGUUACAAGUAUAAUGGAUUAAACAUGUCAUUGGUUGAAAAUAUACCUGAAUUUCCUUAGUUUGAUCAAAACAAACCAAAAAUGAAGGAAAGCACAAAGAAAAUUCACAGACUCUAUAGCGCGAGGCCCAUGUCAAAUAUUCAGAGCCUUGUUUGUCAUUUGUCUGAAAGACGAUAUUUAAGGUUAGAGUCACCAUAUGCUUGAACAGCAAGGAGAAAUUGUUGGUAUAUUUAUAGCACACAAGUUUGAUCCUAGGUUUUUCAUGUUUCAAGAAUUUCUAAAGAUUUACUAAUUUUUUAAUUUAAACAUUUAUACUUCUAAACCAAGCUUUAUGAAUUUUCUUAAAGUUGCAGAAUUGGAGGCCCACUGGCAGAGCGGCCAGGCAAGAUCUUGUGCCUGGUCAUUCCUGCCACAUUGUUUAACUUAUGCUGAUAUGAUUCCAUGAUCAUUCUGUUUCCUCUGUUAUUUAAAUGUGUCCCCAUCCCCCCGCUCAAAAUCCAUCACGUCUGUACCCCUCACCAUUUUUUAAAGAAAUCUAAGCUGUGAUACUUACUCCCUCUCAUUGUGCAUUAUGAAAUGUUUACACUUAAAUACAGUGAAAUUAAAUGUAAAAACAAAGAAACACUUUUCAGCAUAGUUUUUUAAGGCUCUAGUAAGGAGAUUAGAUUUAUUUACUGAUAAUAAUCCUUUGAGAUGGCAAACUUGUAUGUUUUCUAAUCAUUGUCCUUUUCAUUAUUGUUGAAUUUUGUUCAUGCAGCGAAAUGACAAAGAUGCAAAUUUAGUUUUCUGAGAGAGACAGGCCUUGUAAAUCCUCUGUAAGUCAACUCUUUUCGCCUUCCCACCUUAGUUGAUCACUGUAUUCAAGGUGCCAAAAAGAUCAAUAUAUAAUUUUAUCUUAUGUCAAGUUUUCUGAUUAAAAGGUGACAUUCUAGUCUGUAAUGGAACCAGGUAAAUAAGAUGGAUCUCUGCAGCCACAUAUUGCCCCAGAUUCAUCCAAAAAUGCUCCGAUAAGUUAAUAUUUUAAAAAAAUGGAAUACUAGUUUUGAUCAAUCCAAAUGUGCGUAUUUUUAUCACUUAAUUUAGUGGCAGUUGAUCAUUUCUGCUUUUCUAUUUAUUGGUCUCACAAAUCGGGUGAGUCCUCUGCCCUGCAUUGUCCCCACAGACCCUUCCGCGUAAUCACGAAGCCACAUCAAGGGAGCUUUCUGACACUCCACUCUUUGUGCCUAUAUCCUUUCAGCAUUCCUUGCAAAAUGUGGCUGGGAUUCCCAGACUCCCCUGCAUGUGCCCAAGUGCAUCUAUGCCCCUAACCCAGAGGGCUCCCCCAACUCCCUCUUCCCACCCUAGAUCCUUUGGACCUUAGAUUCUUUUGCCCCAGAAUCCCCCCAACUUGCUUUGGGGAGGAAACCUCAGACCCAUAGAGGGCUUUGAAUCUUGGAGAUGAAUUUAAACAAAAUAAUCACAAUUUAACCAUCAUUCACAACACAAAUAUUAAUAUUAUGUCUUAGCACUGACAUUACCAGUACUUUUUUUCUGGGGGGACGCAGGCGUACGCAUACCCCUCAAUAUUUUGUGAAUCUAACUUUGGCCUCAUUGAGGGGCACUAUUUCAAUAUGAAUAGGAAAAUGAGAGUACCCCUAAACAUUUUUUUUUUAGAAAAAAAGAACUGGACAUUACUAACUCUUGAUGGCAUUGCAGGAGAAUAGACUCAUAGGAUUUGUGUGGCUCCUGUCUUUAAAAGUUGGUUUAAGGAAUAAUAAGUUUUAAAAAUAGGACUUUUUGGCUCUUGUAGAAGUAAUGCAGUGAUCAAUGUAGAUGCUACUCUGGAAACUUCCUACUCAGAGGCCAGGCCCAGUUUUCAUAAGCUCUUCAGGAAUGCAAAAUAGUUGGUGCUGUCACUUUAAACUUACAAAUGUUUGUACUGUCUUGUCGAAAUUAUUUGCUUUGUGCUUAUUUUUGUAUUACAACUUGGAAUUACGACACUACUUUAGAAAUGGAUCACCUUUUAAAAAGUUACCAAUGUGCAAUGUUACCACAUUUGGUUCACCGUGCGUGGUGAUAAUUUAAACAGGACUUGUACUAAUGGUACCGUCAUUCAGGAAUGUACAGAUCUACAUACAAUUUCUUUAAUUUAAAACGAGGUAUUUUUAAGCAUCAGAAACACUUCUCUCAAAUUAUUUUCAGUAAAACAUUAAAUAACUGCAUAGUUUUCUCAAGACAAAUCAGCAAGGAAAUACAUAAGUUUGACUUUUAAUUGCAACCUUGUUUCAAUAAUGGAAUAAUUUUAUAUAAGGAAUACCUAUAGGAAUUUUUUUUUAACUUUCAUAUAACACUAAUUUCGGAAUAUGUAACACUGAUUGGUGAAAGUAGUAUCCCUACGUGAAAAUUGGGUCCUUAUUCCUGCAUUACAGGUCAGUCUCUUUUAUCUAUAUGGUUAAAAUGAGUUAAGAGGAAGGGGAAUGUUAGUACUGUUGCAAGGUUGUUUGGUGACUGAAGAAAACUGGAAUAGAAGCAUAAAUGCAGUGCUUAGUUCUAGUGAUAGGAAAUUAUUUUGAUGGUAACGCCUUGCAUUAACCCUUUGAGCAUUGUAAGCUAAUGUGAUUGGUACAAAUAUUUCAGAGACCACUGGCAAGAGGAGGAGUGCCGUGGCCCCAGCCCUAACCACUAUCUGAGAUAAUGAACACCAUGUGCACAGUUUUGCAGGGGAACAGGUCCCAAGAACUCUAAGAAAAUCUAAGGAGUUGUGCCCUACUUCAGAGAACUCUGAAUGCUCCCCAAAUCCUACUGAAGCAAUUACCUUUUGGGGGGGUGGAUAUUUUUAUUUUAAAUUUUGUCAUGCAUAGGGUUGAAUCUAGCCAUAGUCAUUCUUCAAGUCAGCCCAGGGAAGUUUGUGGGACUUGAUUUCAAUAGGUCUGCUUAAAGUAUGACUAAGUUAGGAUCCAACCCUGGUUUGCACUUAAAUAGGUGUGUCAUAGGAACAUUGGAAGUUGCCUUAUACAAAGUCAGACCAGGGGUACACCGAGCUCAGAAUUGUCUGUCCCAGGGUUCUUCAACCUUGGUCUGUUGCUGGACCACAACUCUCAUCAUCCUCAGCCAGCUUUGCCUGCGGUCAGGGAUGAUGGGAGUUGUAGUCUAACAACAUCUGGGGACCUGAAGUUGAUGAACACUGGUCUACCCAGCAGCUCUCCAGGGUUUGGGGCAGGGAACAUUCCCAGCCCUGCCUGGAUAUGUCAGGGAUUGAAACAGACAACUUCUGCAUGCAAAGCACAUGCCCUGCCACUGAGUUAUGGCCCUUCCCUAUUAGACAUUUUAAGCAUCAAAGAUCUGGAUGCAUUGUAAAUGUUCUUCACAAUUUCAAUGCUUGAAUUUGAGGAGGACAUCUCUGCUGAAUACAUUUAGAAUACUGCCUGCAGCAAACUAGCAUUUAUGCUAUUUACUGCCUACAGCAAACUAAUAUUGCUACUAGUUUAGGGGGAAAUUAUUUGAUCCAAGAAACAUGAAUUGAAAAGUACCUAUAUGGUCUUAAAAUUAGAUACUUAACAAGAAAAUAACUUUAUUUGAGAAUACAGUGGUUCCUCGGGUUACAGACGCUUCAGGUUGCAGACUCCACUAACCCAGAAAUAGUGCUUCAGGUUAAGAACUUUGCUUCAGGAUGAGAACAGAAAUCAUGCUCUGGCGGUGUGGCGGCAUCAGGAGGCCCCAUUAGCUAAAGUGGUGCUUCAGGUUAAGAACAGUUUCAGGUUAAGAACAGACCUCCAGAACAAAUUAAGUUCUUAACCCGAGGUACCACUGUAGUGGGGAAAUCUUGCUAGGCUAGUAUAUGAGCAUGUGUAAAUAGGAAAUGUAUCUCAGAGACCUGAAUUUUAUAAGACAUUUGCGGUUCAGUUACACAUGCCCCCAUCCUAUAAACCAGGGGGGCUGGCCCAUGACCCUCCAGAUGUUGGGACCCAAGUCCUAUCAGCCCCAGCCAUUAGGGGAGUCAUUGUCCAUCGAAAUAUGGAGGGCCACAGUUGAGACGGCUGUGCUGUAGACGGUCUCCCCCAGGGUAUUGCUGUGACUACAGUCCAAGGAGCCUCUACAGGUGUUCCUGGGAGAGAACUGGGUGGAAUUACAGGUAUCUUUGGAUUUUGUUUUGCAACCACUGUUCAGCUGAAGGCAGGCUGCAUUUUGAGAGUGGAAAUGGCUUUCCUCUCCCACAUGGUGAGCUCUUGUGGUGCUCAGAGAAGCCUUUGGCUGCGCACACAGUUUUCCCGCUAGGCAUGUAGUUUUGUUGAGCUGAAGCCUUGAUUCUCCCCAUUCCCAAGUCGGUUUGUUACUGAAUGCAGAGUGGCAUAUUUCUAAGGAAUUCCAAACUUCAGACAUUGUGCAGAUAAAAAUAGGCUGUGGGCGAUAGAGCAGUAGAUGGUUUUUUUUACGUAGUCGCAUUUGCCAAACCAGCCCAGUCUCUAAAUCCGGCCUGUGACCCCCCAAGUUAUGAAUCCUGUUGUAGCUGAGGCUCCACCAACCUCCCCUUGUUGCUGCUGGACUGGCCCUGCCCCAGUCACCAGGGUGCGGAGCGCCCAGCAGCUCCCAGUAGGUGGCUGGUGAGCUGCCUUUCUCUUGGAGAGUCUCCAGGAGCGCUGGCCUGCUCUCGAUAGAGUUCUGCAAGAUUCUUGUCCAUUGGUUCAAUGCAUCAUCACUAAUAAAGCAGUUUGCACUGAAGCUGUGGUUAUUCUGGAAGGGACUUGGGAGCGCUAUGGUUCUCUAACACAAGCCUCUAACCAGCCUUCCCUUAUUCUGACAAGCUAUUCAAAUUAAUGUAUAAUUAAAAAUGAAUGCAAUACUCAAAGGGUUUAUGAAUUUAUUAUUCAUAAUAAUUUUACUGUAAAUGCUUCUCAGUUUGCAUGCCUUGAUCAUUGCUGCUAGUGAUUUUAUGUGCCAGUAGAACUGAGUUUACGUUACCAAUUUUACUUAAUAGUUAAAGCCACUUACAAAGUGACUGCCUGGGGUCUUUUGAUUGAAGUAACAUGCCUUGAUUUCAAAACAAUUUGUGGUUGUUUUUUUAAAUGAUUUUUCUCUCCUCUUUUUUUCGUUCCCGCCCUUCUUUUUCUUUUCAUAUAUAUAUAUAUGAAGCCCUGAGUAGUAUUUGGUAAGAAUGCUCAGUUCAGUUGAUUAUGUAAAAUGAAAUACACCAGAAUACCCAUUGAAUGCAAACCAUCAUCCUACUAAGCCUCAUCUCUGUACAUUUCACCAAGCACUGAUGCUGGGCAGCCUUCCAUACAAAUCACAUAGGAAACGAGUUGAAAUUGCCCAGCAGCAAUGCCUUGUGGAUUGUGCCUUCUGUACCUAGACUUAGCGGAAAUCAGGGAGAUCUGGUUUAACUGCAGUGAGAAUGGGAUGGGGCAACAGGUUGCGAUAGAGAGGGAAGCAAAACUGUCAAGCAAGACAAGUGUGUGGUCCUUUGCACUUGGUUGUGCGACACUUUUGCAAUGACCUUUCGUGGCCAGGUAAGAGACAAAUCUUCAGCAUGCAUGCAAGUACUAUAUAAAUAGGAAUUAUUUCAUUUACUAAAUUGAAAUUUUAACAAGAUACAUGGCUUGAGUGGGUUGUCCACAUAAGGAUAUAUGUAUUAUUGCAAAACAGCAUAGGAAGAAUGGAAUCCAGUAUAAUACUGGUUAUAAAGAAGAACCCUAUUUAGUACUUCUGUGUUAUUUCAUUACUACAUUCCUAUCUCCCUAAGCAUCUCACAUCAAUAAAAGUGAGAUUCAGGCCCUGUAAUCAGACUUAUGAACUAAAAAGACAUGACAUGCAAGGGAAGCGAUCUUUCUGUUCUGCUGUGGCUCUUCUUUGAUUGGCUCUGGCCGUCGCAGGGCAGCCAGCGAGGGAAGCCGCCUUCUUCCUGGACCAGUGGAGGGGCCAGGCCGGUCUUCCUCUGGCCCCCAAGUUCCCCCUUGCCCCCCUGGCCAAUUUCAGAGAUCCUGGAGUUCUGCCUUUGGCUCUGCAGCCUCAGGGCAACUUUCAAAAACAGCCUAUUGAAAUUCUGAUAUGGAUUUCUUGCACAAGAAGUACAGUCCCAGGUAGUUUAGGGAAUUAUACCCUUACAUUUUAAAUCUUAAUUACAGUUUCAAAGUAACCAAAUAAUUUCCAACCUACAGUUAUCAAAAACAAAAGUCUAACCAAAGCAGGUUUCUCCUUUUAUAACUUAAUUUUCCCAUUUGAAAUUUGACUUUUUUAAUAAUAGCUAGUGAGGCUGUAAAAAAACAAAACAAACAUUUGUGUGCCUUCUUAAAAACUUGGGGAAUUUGUGCCUGUUUAAUGCGGUUAAAUUUAGUUCUUACCAUUGCUAACUCUACUAUCACUCAGGGCUUUCUUACCUUUGAUAUAAGUUAUUUCAUUGUUUUAUUUUACAAUUUGUUUUUGUUCUUCGUUACGUGCCAUCAUUUAAAUUUCACUUAGUAAGUGGCAGGUCAUGCUUUUCAGUCCCACAAGCACAGAAAUGCAGGAAACACUCAUAGAGCAUAUUGGAUCUUUUUAUUUUCAAAAUUGACUGAAUAUAUAAUGUAAAUGAGGUAAGCAACUUUUUGUAGAUUGUAUGUGUGAGAUAAUGUAAUGUUCUUUUCCAGUUUUUGGAUUACAGUUGAAUAUACUUUUUAAUUAUUUAAAGAAAACAUCUUUACAGAAUAACGUGAUGGGUUUUGUAUAAUGUAUUUGAUUUUGUAAAUACGUAUUUCCUGAUGUGAUUUUUGUGAAAAUGCUAAAUCUUUUAGUAUAUCAUGUCCUCUCAAAAUUGGCAGGAGCUAAAUAAUAGUUUGUGGGCAAUUUGUAUUGUGUACUGUACAAUAACUGGGGAACUUUUAUAAUUAUAAAAAUAUAUAUUAACUUUUAGUGUGUUGUUUAAACAAAUGACUGGAACAUACUAAAGAUAGUAGGAUUUUUCUGAAUAUUUCAGACUUGAACUCAGGCUAGCUUUCUUGUGUUUUUCAAAACAAAAUUGUGUCUUGUCUUUUAAAAUCAAUAAAUUUGUUUUCUUGUUACAAA
RNAcentral lists this long non-coding RNA (8211 nucleotides) under Podarcis lilfordi (Lilford's wall lizard). Lineage: Eukaryota; Metazoa; Chordata; Lepidosauria; Squamata; Lacertidae. The record is from RNAcentral.